GAUGAGGCUUCAACCUCAAAAAAAGAUGUGAGAAAGAGGAUUGGGAAAGCUGACAGAUCUGCUAUGGCAGAGCUUCUAAAGAAGAAAAAGACUGAAGACCAGCGGAACCAUGAUGCACACACAACAAGCAAAUUUCCCUGCACUUCAACGGGCCAAGUACGUGCACGUAUGGGCCAGAAGCUGAAAGAUGUCCGUGCAUCACUGAUCAUCAUGCAUGAGUUUCCGGGUCACAUGAUUAAGAUCAAGAUCAUUUAGGGUCAAUGAACUUUGACCAUGCUGGGGCAUCUGCAUUGAAAUCUUAACCAAGGUU
This is a long non-coding RNA of Lytechinus variegatus (green sea urchin), 310 nucleotides long. RefSeq lists it as uncharacterized. The record is from RefSeq and is a predicted model, not a curated record. The transcript is spliced from 3 exons. NCBI's taxonomy places the organism in Eukaryota, Metazoa, Echinodermata, Echinoidea, Temnopleuroida, Toxopneustidae.